UGUUCCAAAAGCCUACUCAAGGCCUUUCUUCUUAUUUUAAGGAAAAUCUUUAUGCUAAUUUUAAACUCCAAAUACUUAUGAAUGGCAGAGAUCUACAGAUUUGAUUCUGAUGUAAGAAAUGAUGGUCACCAGCCAGUUACUGCUACCACCCCACAACCCCGAGCAUACUGGACGAAUGUCUAAGCCUUGUGGUUAGUGGGGACAAUGCUGGUGGAGUCUGAAGUUGUCAUGCAGUGACUCAUGCAAGCUUAGGCAGAUUUGGUGAUAUAUGACACAGAGAUGCAAAGAAAUGUUGUAGCUGACACACACAGGCUGGCUCUGGGAGAUGCAGAAGGAGCACGUCACCCAAAAUAGAGCCAGACAAGACAUCCUUAAGGAAGGAGCAAAAGGGCUGCAUCUUAAAGAAUGUAGAAAGGAUUUGUCAUGAGAGAUGGGGCAGGAAGUUCUUGAGAGGCAGAGGGAGAGCAUGAGAAUGUUAGGAAGGGAGGAGAGAUUCUCACACAUCUGGGAAGCUGACAAUCCAUCAGCAUGGCCAGAAGGAAAAUGAGGAGGAGCAGAAAUAGAUGAGGCUGGAUAUAGAAGCAGGGCUGAAGCGGUGUUGAUUGUGGUAAAGAGUUGUGAUUCUAUCCAGAACUCAAUAGGUAGCAUUCUAAACAGAGAUCUUUUAAACAAGAGUCAGCAAGUAUUUUCUGCAAGGGGCUAAAUGUUAAAUAUUUUAAGUUUUCCAAGCCAUAUGGUCUCUCUCUCAAUGACUCAGCUCUUCCAUUAUACCAUGAAAAUAGCCAGAGACAUUAUGUAACACAUGUAUUGGCUGUGUCCCAUUACAACUUUACUUACAAACGCAGACUGUGUCAGACAUGGUCCAUGCAUGGUAGUUUGCCACACCCUGUUUUAGAAAGCUCAGGUUUAUGAUGUGAUGGAGAAUGCCUACAAGAGCUCUUGUUUUAAAUGGUAGAGUGAACAUACACUGGAAUUCUAUCCUGCUUGACCCAAGCUCUUGAUAGCGAAAGGUAGAAAAGAUAGAUGGUAAAUAGAUAGAUAGAUGAUAGAUAAAGAAAAUACAUAGCUGUUCCAGAAAACAGAAAUGGAUAACUUCAUGAACCAAAAGCAGAGUAAUAUACUUUAGAAAGGAAGCGGGCCGGAAAACCCACAGUUGCAAAACAAAUAGAAUUUCCAACUGCCUCUUGUAGCCCCUUCCUGGAAGUAGUCACAGCCCAGGGUGUUCGACUUCUUCCUCUGUUUUUUGUUUGUUUGUUGUUUGCUUUUCUGUGGGGUUUUUGUUGUUGUUGUUUGCUUUUAAAAAAAAAUUCCCUUUCCCUGCUUUUUUGUCACAGCAGCCUUUGUCACUUCAAACACCGCAAGUGUUCUUUAAAAAAAAUUAUAUCAACCUUUCAAUUAAAAUGCAACAUGUCUGAAACUUGGUAUCUGGAGAGGUGAGUUGGACAAAGGAGCCCUUGUUACUGCACGUUUUCAUUCUUCAAAUUUCACCUUGCACACAGUAACAGACAGUGCACAAAGCUACUUCCUUAUGGACGGAAAUUCUGAAAUCCUUUUAUGCCUGGCCUUUCCAUCCUUCAACUUCCCCUCUCCCACGCUGUGAAUGAUUGUAUUGGACAUUUUUGUUUUAAUGUCAGUGACAGGGGAACACAGGUAGCUCUAAUAUAGCUGUGACCCAGAUGCUUCUGUUUCUAGCAUGUAUUUAUUUUGCAGCAAACAUUUACAUCCAUGAUGUUUCACUGUCUUUUGAAAAUAAUUAGGCAAUAUCUCAUCUGAGGUAGGUUGUUUCUAGGGAUUGUGUUCUGAGGGAGGAAAACUAAUCUGUUCUCUUUCCACUGCAUUCUAGGAACAGUAAGAGGACCUUGUGCAUGAAUAAUUUGUUUCCACACUACAGAAAGAAUCCCAGACUUCUUAGAGAACCCAGUGACUUUUUGUACCUUAAAUCUGUGAAAUCCUCAUGUUUUCUUCUGCCGUAUCCAUAGUUCAAACAAAGAUGAGGCAAAGCUAGAUGCAUUCCUGAAGGAACCCAAGAAAUUCCUCUCUUUCUUUCUCUGGAAUGAAAUGAAUUCUCUAGACCACCAGUUCUAACCUUCAAAAACCAAACCUGUUUGUGAGAUCUCCUUCAAAUACUACUGUAGACCCCAGUGUUUAUUCAUUAAAUUUUUUAAAUAUUUGUUUUAUUUGGAAUC
Molecule: long non-coding RNA, 2186 nt
Filed under: Homo sapiens (human)
Lineage: Eukaryota; Metazoa; Chordata; Mammalia; Primates; Hominidae
Description: HSALNT0395495
Source: RNAcentral